CGGGGCCUAGACCCCACAAGGGUCCCUGGCCACCCCCAGGGCAAACCCUGUCCUACGCACAUCAAAUCUGGAAAACUCAGUCCCAGAUGCCACGAAGUAAGAAAAUGUCUUCCCCUCGGCCCACCUCUGAGGUCAGGACCUGAAGAAGGCGUUAGGAGGAGAAGGGAGGCCAGGAGAGGCCGUGGGCACCUCACCUGGCUAACGCCCACCCAGGCUUUCUGCUGAGACGGGCCCUCCCGCCGGACCCCUUCCCUGCUCCCUCUGGACUGGGCCAGGCCCUUCCCCGGGGACAGCAUGAGACUCCCUGGAUUAGAACCACUUCUGUACCUGACCAGCUCCCAUUAGGACGUCGAUGCCGGGGUAGGGGCAAAGGACCAGUCUAUUUGAUCACCAUCUUCUCUGGGGGCCCUGGCAAAGUUCCUGGGACCUGGGAGAUGUGCCCUGCAGGGUCUCGGCAGGAAACAAACGGACGCACUCGAGUGAGGCAACUGAGGCAGACCGGUUCAACUCAAUACACUGUACACCCUACACUUACACAACGGGACAUGGCAAUUAUAUCUCAACUUACAAACAAAGGAAGAACUCCCUGGCCUGAGUGUGAAUAG
RNAcentral lists this long non-coding RNA (605 nucleotides) under Suricata suricatta (meerkat). RNAcentral describes it as "lncRNA (ENSSSUG00005009820.1)". Lineage: Eukaryota; Metazoa; Chordata; Mammalia; Carnivora; Herpestidae. The record is from RNAcentral.